This 1428-nucleotide ribosomal RNA is filed under the name metagenome. RNAcentral's name for it is "bacterial LSU rRNA". It matches the Rfam family "Bacterial large subunit ribosomal RNA", at positions 1488 to 2925 of the family's 2925-position model. The record is from RNAcentral.
UAAGCCAGUUAAUGGAUUCUGGUCUAAGCAGUGAGGUUUGGUAUGAGUCAAAUGCUUGUACCUCUAAGAUUGAGCUGUGAUGGGGAAGCACUUUCGAGUGCGAAGUACCUGAUGUCACACUGCCAAGAAAAUCUUCUAGCGUUUAAUUAUAACCUACCCGUACCGCAAACCGACACAGGUAGUCGAGGCGAGUAGCCUCAGGUGAGCGAGAGAACUCUCGUUAAGGAACUCGGCAAAAUGACCCCGUAACUUCGGGAGAAGGGGUGCUCUACAUUUGUAGAGCCGCAGUGAAUAGGCCCAAGCGACUGUUUAUCAAAAACACAGCUCUCUGCUAAAUCGUAAGAUGAUGUAUAGGGGGUGACGCCUGCCCGGUGCUGGAAGGUUAAGAGGAGUGCUUAGCGUAAGCGAAGGUAUGAAUUGAAGCCCCAGUAAACGGCGGCCGUAACGAUAACGGUCCUAAGGUAGCGAAAUUCCUUGUCGGGUAAGUUCCGACCCGCACGAAAGGCGUAACGAUUUGGGCACUGUCUCAACGAGAGACUCGGUGAAAUUUUAGUACCUGUGAAGAUGCAGGUUACCCGCGACAGGACGGAAAGACCCCAUGGAGCUUUACUGCAAGUUGAUAUUGAGUAUCUGUUGCACAUGUACAGGAUAGGUAGGAGCCAUUGAUCUGAGGACGCUAGUUUUCAGUGAGGCGAUGUUGGGAUACUACCCUUGUGUAAUGGCUACUCUAACCCGCAUGCCUAAUCGGCAUGGGAGACAGUGUCUGCUGGGCAGUUUGACUGGGGCGGUCGCCUCCUAAAGAGUAACGGAGGCGCUCAAAGUUUCCCUCAGCAUGGUUGGAAAUCAUGCGUAGAGUGUAAAGGUAUGAGGGAGAUUGACUGCGAGACUUACAAGUCGAGCAGGUACGAAAGUAGGACUUAGUGAUCCGGUGGUACCGCAUGGAAGGGCCAUCGCUCAACGGAUAAAAGCUACCCUGGGGAUAACAGGCUUAUCUCCCCCAAGAGUUCACAUCGACGGGGAGGUUUGGCACCUCGAUGUCGGCUCGUCGCAUCCCGGGGCUGUAGUCGGUCCCAAGGGUUGGGCUGUUCGCCCAUUAAAGCGGCACGCGAGCUGGGUUCAGAACGUCGUGAGACAGCUCGGUCCCUAUCCGUCGCGGGCGUAGGAAAUUUGAGAGGAUCUGCCCUUAGUACGAGAGGACCGGGGUGGACUUACCGCUGGUGUACCAGUUGUCUUGCCAAAGGCAUCGCUGGGUAGCUAUGUAGGGAACGGAUAAACGCUGAAAGCAUCUAAGUGUGAGACCAACCUCAAGAUGAGAUUUCCCAUUCUUUAUGAAUUAAGAGCCCUGAGAGAUGAUCAGGUAGAUAGGCUAGAAGUGGAAGGACAGUGAUGUUUGGAGCGGACUAGUACUAAUAGCUCGAGGACUUUACC